RNAcentral lists this ribosomal RNA (742 nucleotides) under uncultured bacterium. RNAcentral's name for it is "bacterial SSU rRNA". It matches the Rfam family "Bacterial small subunit ribosomal RNA", at positions 8 to 796 of the family's 1533-position model. The record is from RNAcentral.
AGAGUUUGAUCCUGGCUCAGAACGAACGCUGGCGGCAGGCUUACCACAUGCAAGUCGAACGCAUCCUUCGGGGUGAGUGGCAGACGGGUGAGUAACGCGUGGGAACGUGCCCUUCAGUUCGGAAUAACCCAGGGAAACUUGGGCUAAUACCGGAUACGUGCGAGAGCAGAAAGAUUUAUCGCUGAAGGAUCGGCCCGCGUCUGAUUAGCUAGUUGGUGAGGUAAUGGCUCACCAAGGCGACGAUCAGUAGCUGGUCUGAGAGGAUGAUCAGCCACAUUGGGACUGAGACACGGCCCAAACUCCUACGGGAGGCAGCAGUGGGGAAUAUUGGACAAUGGGCGCAAGCCUGAUCCAGCCAUGCCGCGUGAGUGAUGAAGGCCUUAGGGUUGUAAAGCUCUUUCGUCCGGGACGAUAAUGACGGUACCGGAAGAAGAAGCCCCGGCUAACUUCGUGCCAGCAGCCGCGGUAAUACGAAGGGGGCUAGCGUUGUUCGGAAUCACUGGGCGUAAAGGGCGCGUAGGCGGCUUGAUAAGUCGGGGGUGAAAGCCUGUGGCUCAACCACAGAAUUGCCUUCGAUACUGUCUGGCUUGAGACCGGAAGAGGUAAGUGGAACUGCGAGUGUAGAGGUGAAAUUCGUAGAUAUUCGCAAGAACACCAGUGGCGAAGGCGGCUUACUGGUCCGGUUCUGACGCUGAGGCGCGAAAGCGUGGGGAGCAAACAGGAUUAGAUACCCUAGUAGUCC